AAUUAUGUCAUUUACCUAAGUAUUAAAUCAGAAUGCUAUCAAUUACUAUAAGCUUAUUACACAACUGUAAAAAAAUAAUCAUCUUUAUAACUCUUUAGUUGAAACUAUGGUACAACAGACCUCUUCAUAUGAAUUCGAAAUUCAACAAUGGAUGCCACCGUAUUGUUACGGCUUCAAAGUACACUCAAAAGGUUUGUUAUUUUGACUUAAAUUUAAGCGGAAAAUAGAAGGGAAACGAAUCAAUAUGUUCUUUUUUCUGCAAAAUUGUUUAACGCGUAGCACACAAGCAAAGCAGCGGAGAGAAACUAAGCUGCAGCAGACAGUUUAUGUUCUUGUUCAUCAAGGUUGAGAACUUCCAGCAACUUAGGCCAUGAUUCGGGGAUGCCUCCCGGUAAAUCAAAUUCCAGUAACUUACCUUGGCUACGGUAGAAGUCCUCAACAGGCUGACUCUUAUCCCAGUAUAUACUGAGCCUUUCCUUCACAAUGGCUUCUGUAUCAUCUGCUCGAGUGAUUAACUUUGAUAUACACUGAGAGGGAGGAUUAAGGGGAGCCAUGCUGAUUCUAGGAGCCCCAUUUUCACCAGCGACAUCUAUAGAUGCCACGUUGAAAUUCUUUCCACAUUCACUGCAGAUUCUUCGGCCAAGGCAUUUCUCAACCAAUACCCGCUCUGGAAGCUUGAGAUUAACCACCAAAUCUAUGUCUGUCACCUCGGUCAAUAUUUCUGCUUGUCUCACAGUUCUAGGGAAACCAUCAAGUAUGAAUCCAGCUUCACCCUUAGCUUCCCCACUCUCAAGCCUUUUGGAUAGUAGAUUCAGUAUAAUCUCAUCUGAAACCAAUUUUCCUUGGUUGACAAUCUCUGCAAGUUGUUUCGAUAAAGGACCUGAAGAUUUCAACUCAUCACGAACAAGAUCUCCAGUAGCAAUAUGAGGAACGCCUAAAAGGGUUGAGAGACGGCUAGCAUAUGUACCUUUUCCGACACCAGGACAACCCAAAAAGACCCAUUGAACAGAUUUAGCCUUGGGUUCAACACUUGUAGAAUGAGGGUAAGAUCGGGAUUUCACUGUCUCAGAUGCAGCUGCUGUAGAUAAAGAUCUACUGAUAAGAGAUGAUGAAGAUGAUGAAGAUCUGAACAGGCGGAUCAUGGCCGCCAUUGCCGGAAAAUUCUCCCGGAGUUAUUUUUCUUGAGAAGUGUGAA
This 1195-nucleotide unclassified non-coding RNA is filed under the name Hevea brasiliensis (rubber tree). Lineage: Eukaryota; Viridiplantae; Streptophyta; Magnoliopsida; Malpighiales; Euphorbiaceae. The record is from RNAcentral.